This 530-nucleotide ribosomal RNA is filed under the name uncultured bacterium. Its description in RNAcentral is "bacterial SSU rRNA". It matches the Rfam family "Bacterial small subunit ribosomal RNA", at positions 333 to 877 of the family's 1533-position model. The record is from RNAcentral.
AUACGACCUACGGGUGGCAGCAGUAGGGAAUAUUGCACAAUGGGCGAAAGCCUGAUGCAGCAACGCCGCGUGUGCGAUGAAGGCCUUCGGGUCGUAAAGCACUUUUCUGAGAGAUGAGCAAGGACAGUAUCUCAGGAAUAAGUCUCGGCUAACUACGUGCCAGCAGCCGCGGUAAAACGUAGGAGGCGAGCGUUAUCCGGAUUCACUGGGCGUAAAGCGCGUGCAGGCGGUUCGGUAAGUUGGGUAUGAAAUCUCCUGGCUUAACUAGGAGAGGUUAUCCAAUACUACCGGACUUGAGAGUGGUAGAGGAAGAUGGAAUUCCCGGUGUAGUGGUGAAAUGCGUAGAUAUCGGGAGGAACACCAGUGGCGAAAGCGAUCUUCUGGACCAUUUCUGACGCUCAGACGCGAAAGCUAGGGUAGUAAACGGGAUUAGAGACCCCGGUAAUCCUAGCCGUAAACGAUGUAAACUUGGCGUCGGUGGCUUAAACACCAUCGGUGCCGCAGCUAACGCGAUAAGUUUACCGCCUGGG